Molecule: ribosomal RNA, 433 nt
Filed under: uncultured bacterium
Lineage: Bacteria
Description: bacterial SSU rRNA
Rfam family: Bacterial small subunit ribosomal RNA
Source: RNAcentral
AACGAACGCUGGCGGCAUGCCUAACACAUGCAAGUCGAACGAGACCUUCGGGUCUAGUGGCGCACGGGUGCGUAACGCGUGGGAAUCUGCCCUGGGGUGCGGAAUAACUCGGAGAAAUCCGUGCUAAUACCGCAUAAUGUCUUCGGACCAAAGAUUUAUUGCCCUGGGAUGAGCCCGCGUAGGAUUAGCUAGUUGGUGAGGUAAAGGCUCACCAAAGCGACGAUCCUUAGCUGGUCUGAGAGGAUGAUCAGCCACACUGGGACUGAGACACGGCCCAGACUCCUACGGGAGGCAACAGUGGGGAAUAUUGGACAAUGGGCGAAAGCCUGAUCCAGCAAUGCCGCGUGAGUGAUGAAGGCCUUAGGGUUGUAAAGCUCUUUCACCAGGGAUGAUAAUGACAGUACCUGGAGAAUAAGCUCCGGCUAACUCCGUG